CGCCCCCCAUCGAUGCCAGUUGGACAAUUUCCUCCCCCAAUGCAGUGGCCUGCCCACCCUCAACCUGGACAAGGCCUUCCACAACCUGUGAUGCCUCCACCACCACUCCAACAGUUCAGGCCUCCAGCAAACUUGCCACCACCUCCACCCACAGGUAUGAUGAGGCCGCCACCACCACCACCUUCUGGGGUGGGUGUUCCACCACCUGCUCUAUGGAGACCACCUCCACCACCUCAGCAGAUGGCUGGAAGGCCCAUGCCUCCACCUCCGAUGCCCAUGCCACCAAAUAUGAUGCCAAAUGGCUCGGUUCCAUGACAUCACAC
This 323-nucleotide long non-coding RNA is filed under the name Musa acuminata (dwarf banana). Its description in RNAcentral is "long non-coding RNA (MACU_LNC002806)". The record is from RNAcentral. Lineage: Eukaryota; Viridiplantae; Streptophyta; Magnoliopsida; Zingiberales; Musaceae.